Molecule: signal recognition particle RNA, 265 nt
Filed under: Clostridiales bacterium
Lineage: Bacteria; Bacillati; Bacillota; Clostridia; Eubacteriales
Description: signal recognition particle sRNA large type
Rfam family: Bacterial large signal recognition particle RNA
About the family: The signal recognition particle (SRP) is a universally conserved ribonucleoprotein involved in the co-translational targeting of proteins to membranes.
Source: RNAcentral
CCAUGCUAGCCGGGGGUGUAGCGGCCCCCUGUUACCCGCAAUCCGCUAUAGCGGGGGUGAUGCUUGCCGGAGGCUCCUUUUUUGUGGGGCCUGGGCUUGGUAAGUGGUGUUGACGAUCUGGUCUUGCGCAAUGGCCCUUUGUGAACCGUGUCAGAUCCUGACGGAAGCAGCACUAAGCAUUCGGUGCCAUGUGCCGCGGGGGUGCUGGGUUUGAGCUAACUGCCGGGAUACCGCCCGGAAGAAAAUGUCGAUGGCAAGUGCAUGG